This 431-nucleotide long non-coding RNA is filed under the name Mytilus galloprovincialis (Mediterranean mussel). Lineage: Eukaryota; Metazoa; Mollusca; Bivalvia; Mytilida; Mytilidae. The record is from RNAcentral.
AAAAUGACCAUACAUUAAAAACCUCUAUGAAAUGACACAGAUUCAAAUAAUUUACAACCUUCGAUUUGUUUAAUGUAUGUUAGCAAACAAGUGCCGCAUAUCUAUCAGAAGUUGUAAAAUAAUUAUUACUAAUUACAACAAACGCGGCUUAAAAGCCUUAUCAAUUUUAUGUAAUGCACGCGUACGUUGAUUGUAGGCCCAUAGUGUUACCACAUGCCGAGAAGUCUUCAAAUGGAAACACAAGAUAAUUAAUGACAAGACGCAGGACACUUAAACUGGACCCCUGUUGUGUUCACUUAUCGCUACACUGACGGUGCGAAGCUACAUUGUAUAGAUGGAACGGCGGACCAGUUUAUAUGACACUGAUCUGUAAUUUUGUAUAAUAUGAUCACUUGGUAUUUCUCUCUAUGUACGUGCAACGAAGAUGACAG